GUUCAAGUAUUGUUGAUUUCAAAAGUCAAUUUGGAUUAUAAGACUAAAAUCUGCACCUAAGAAUCAGUUAAAUUGUUUGUUCGUUUUUUAGAUUUCAAUUUGCUUCCAAUAAGGUGGUUGACAACUUUCAUUGUGAUUUGAUGGUUGGGUUUUGUACAUGAAAGCUUCUUAGAGAGCAACUUGGCUAUUGUUGGUGGCAGUGUACAGUUAAUUUGGAAGGAUUGUCAAGAGUUGGUCUAAAAUUUCCCACAGCCAAGGUGGGAUGCAAAAUUGGGUGUGGAUACAUAGCUUGAGGUAAUUCACAGUGAAAGCUCCUACCUAUGCCUUGGAAUUUUUUUAAGAGCAUGCUCUGUAAGUACUUUUAUUCUGUUUUGAGAUGAUUAAAGCUUUAUCAUAAUUAUCUCAUUGGAAUUUUGGCAUGGUUAAAAAAGGGGCAGCAAGGUAUAUAAAUGUGCACAUGCAUAAAUAUUUGUAUGUAUCAGUCCUGCCAAUUUGUAGUAAAGAAUUAUUAUCUUCAACUUUAAGAUUUAAAAUAUAUAUAUUGUUUCUUUAGCCAAUCUGAUUAUUUUGGUUUUGAUGUAAUAAUAUUAUUCUUAUUUUUCUUUUUGGAAGGCAUAACAAAUUGAAGAUAUACUGUAUGAUAGUAGGUCUAAAACAAAACUAAAAAAUUAAACUAAAAUCAAAGUAGAAAUCAUAUAUAUAUAUAUAUAUAUAUUGUUUUGCUUUCAAAGUUUGCGAAAUUAAUAAUGUCUAUCAUGUGUUGGAUGGAAUUCAUGAUAUAUGUAAUGGUUAGUGGAACUCAUUUGCUAUUUCAUAUAUCAAUGUUUAGUAUUUUUAAAAUAGGCAAAUACUUCCAUUCUUCAUAUUUUUAUAAUUGUUCUUGAUGCCUACAACGUCCCAUUAAAGAUUAUGCCACUUAGUUUAGUGUUUUGAAGUGCAUUGUUUUCCCAUAACGUUGUACUGUAACAAGAAUAAUUCAAGACGUUGGUUAUUGUGUCUUCUAUAUCACAGAGGUGUAACAAUGUAUAUUUUCUUUAUUUGUAAGCAGUCAAUUUACGUAUUUGCAAGAAAAUUUAGUAAGGACAAGUGAAAUGAUUUGUUGGUGGUAAUGUAGUUGAGAAGAUUUUGGAUUCAAAAGUCAACCUUUGUUUUUUUAAAUGUGAGCUAAUGUAAUUUUUUUUAUUCAAGGUUUUCUUAUAUAUUGUUCAAUAUACAUUUGGCAGUCAAAACAGAUUCAUUUCGAAUUGAAUAAAUUUUUUAUUUCAGUUGUUUUCAAUAACUGAAAUUUAGUUUGCUUUUGGACGAAUUCUGUCAGUUCAUCAGCAAUAAAAUAGUGCAGAAAACCGGGGUACAAUGCACAAUUAACCACUACAGGAAGAUAUUUUUAGUAGUUGGGAGCUGUCGGAGUGGGUGCCGUUAUAGAAAUUCAGUGUUUCUCCCAAUGAUUGCUAUGCAAAAAAAAGACAAUUUGAAAAUCCUCUAGAAGUUGAACUGGUAGCUGUUUUGCAUUGCUAGAAUUUUGCUCAUGAAGAACAGAAAAAGGCUUAUAUUUUAGAAGGUUAUUUUGGUAUUUUUGCUUUGGUAUAUGAAUGAAAAUAAUUAAUUAUUUACUGAGUUUUGCUUUUGUUUUUUUUUUUUUUUUAAUAAAUAUUCUGGAGUAUUUAAUAAAACCCAAUUUUUGGAUAUGUAAAUCCAAGUGCUAUUUGAGAAGAAUAGAAAGUAGUUCGUAGUGAAAUUUUUUUUUGAUGUUGUUUGUGCAGAAAUGGAAGUGUUUUUCUUUCAAAGUUCUUUUUGAUAAGUAAUUAAAGUAGAAUUAAUAGUCUAUCUAAAGUGAAGGAAAUGUCUAUACUUGGUGAAAAGAAGAAAUUUUACCUCUAUUCUCUAACAGUCUGAUGUAAAAAGUUAAGAAAACAGAAAAUAUACAAACUGCUUGAUGUGUUUAAAUUUUUUAAAGAUGAGAUUUUAGAUGCAAUUCCUCUAGCAUGUAUGUGCUUCAACUUUGGACAUCGGUUUAGUAUAAUUUUCUAAAGAACCACUUGAAUUACAACUUAUCAAAAAAUAAAACCAUUUGAAUUACAAGAACUAUGUGCUUUUAAUUAUUU
This is a long non-coding RNA of Quercus lobata, 2102 nucleotides long. RefSeq lists it as uncharacterized. The record is from RefSeq and is a predicted model, not a curated record. The transcript is spliced from 3 exons. Lineage: Eukaryota; Viridiplantae; Streptophyta; Magnoliopsida; Fagales; Fagaceae.